ACGGCGGAGAGCAGAGAGGGAGCGCGCCUUGGCUCGCUGGCCUUGGCGGCGGCUCCUCAGGAGAGCUGGGGCGCCCACGAGAGGAUCCCUCACCCGGACCACCUCCUCUCCAUGCUGAGCUGCUGCCAAGGGGCCUGCUGCCCAUCUACACCUCACGAGGGCACUAGGAGCACGGUUUCCUGGAUCCCACCAACAUACAAAGCAGCCACUCACUGACCCCCAGGACCAGGAUGGCAAAGGAUGAAGAGGACCGGAACUGACCAGCCAGCUGUCCCUCUUACCUAAAGACUUAAACCAAUGCCCUAGUGAGGGGGCAUUGGGCAUUAAGCCCUGACCUUUGCUAUGCUCAUACUUUGACUCUAUGAGUACUUUCCUAUAAGUCUUUGCUUGUGUUCACCUGCUAGCAAACUGGAGUGUUUCCCUCCCCAAGGGGGUGUCAGUCUUUGUCGACUGACUCUGUCAUCACCCUUAUGAUGUCCUGAAUGGAAGGAUCCCUUUGGGAAAUUCUCAGGAGGGGGACCUGGGCCAAGGGCUUGGCCAGCAUCCUGCUGGCAACUCCAAGGCCCUGGGUGGGCUUCUGGAAUGAGCAUGCUACUGAAUCACCAAAGGCACGCCCGACCUCUCUGAAGAUCUUCCUAUCCUUUUCUGGGGGAAUGGGGUCGAUGAGAGCAACCUCCUAGGGUUGUUGUGAGAAUUAAAUGAGAUAAAAGAGGCCUCAGGCAGGAUCUGGCAUAGAGGAGGUGAUCAGCAAAUGUUUGUUGAAAAGGUUUGACAGGUCAGUCCCUUCCCACCCCUCUUGCUUGUCUUACUUGUCUUAUUUAUUCUCCAACAGCACUCCAGGCAGCCCUUGUCCACGGGCUCUCCUUGCAUCAGCCAAGCUUCUUGAAAGGCCUGUCUACACUUGCUGUCUUCCUUCCUCACCUCCAAUUUCCUCUUCAACCCACUGCUUCCUGACUCGCUCUACUCCGUGGAAGCACGCUCACAAAGGCACGUGGGCCGUGGCCCGGCUGGGUCGGCUGAAGAACUGCGGAUGGAAGCUGCGGAAGAGGCCCUGAUGGGGCCCACCAUCCCGGACCCAAGUCUUCUUCCUGGCGGGCCUCUCGUCUCCUUCCUGGUUUGGGCGGAAGCCAUCACCUGGAUGCCUACGUGGGAAGGGACCUCGAAUGUGGGACCCCAGC
Molecule: long non-coding RNA, 1178 nt
Organism: Homo sapiens (human)
Lineage: Eukaryota; Metazoa; Chordata; Mammalia; Primates; Hominidae
Gene: MEG3
Product: maternally expressed 3
Source: Ensembl